This 240-nucleotide ribosomal RNA is filed under the name uncultured Actinomycetales bacterium. Its description in RNAcentral is "partial 16S ribosomal RNA". It matches the Rfam family "Bacterial small subunit ribosomal RNA", at positions 89 to 334 of the family's 1533-position model. The record is from RNAcentral. Lineage: Bacteria; Bacillati; Actinomycetota; Actinomycetes; Actinomycetales.
ACUCGAGUGGCGAACGGGUGAGUAACACGUGGGUGAUCUGCCCUGCACUUCGGGAUAAGCCUGGGAAACUGGGUCUAAUACCGGAUAGGAGCCAUUUUUAGUGUGAUGGUUGGAAAGUUUUUCGGUGUAGGAUGAGCUCGCGGCCUAUCAGCUUGUUGGUGGGUAAUGGCCUACCAAGGCGGCGACGGGUAGCCGGCCUGAGAGGGUGUACGGCCACAUUGGGACUGAGAUACGGCCCAG